CGCACGGGUGAGUAACACGUAUCCAACCUGCCGUCUACUCUUGGCCAGCCUUCUGAAAGGAAGAUUAAUCCAGGAUGGCAUCAUGAGUUCACAUGUCCGCAUGAUUAAAGGUAUUUUCCGGUAGACGAUGGGGAUGCGUUCCAUUAGAUAGUAGGCGGGGUAACGGCCCACCUAGUCAACGAUGGAUAGGGGUCCUGAGAGGAAGGUCCCCCACAUUGGAACUGAGACACGGUCCAA
RNAcentral lists this ribosomal RNA (237 nucleotides) under uncultured bacterium. Its description in RNAcentral is "partial 16S ribosomal RNA". It matches the Rfam family "Bacterial small subunit ribosomal RNA", at positions 99 to 334 of the family's 1533-position model. The record is from RNAcentral.